RNAcentral lists this ribosomal RNA (247 nucleotides) under uncultured bacterium. RNAcentral's name for it is "partial 16S ribosomal RNA". It matches the Rfam family "Bacterial small subunit ribosomal RNA", at positions 796 to 1041 of the family's 1533-position model. The record is from RNAcentral.
CUGGCCGUAAACGAUGGAUACUAGGUGUGGGAGGUAUCGACCCCUUCCGUGCCGGAGUUAACGCAAUAAGUAUCCCGCCUGGGGAGUACGGCCGCAAGGCUGAAACUCAAAGGAAUUGACGGGGACCCGCACAAGCGGUGGAGUAUGUGGUUUAAUUCGACGCAACGCGAAGAACCUUACCAAGGCUUGACAUUGAGUGAAAGAUCUAGAGAUAGAUUCCUCUCUUCGGAGACACGAAAACAGGUGG